RNAcentral lists this long non-coding RNA (631 nucleotides) under Rattus norvegicus (Norway rat). Its description in RNAcentral is "long non-coding RNA NONRATT014753". The record is from RNAcentral. Lineage: Eukaryota; Metazoa; Chordata; Mammalia; Rodentia; Muridae.
GGAACUUACUCCUGAGGGAGUUGCGGGCUCCGCGUCCGUGGCUUCUUUCAGUGCUUCCCUUGAGGGCUGAGUGGCGGUGAGUGUCGGGUGUCCAUCAGCCUCCCGGCAUGCGGGAGCCUGCGGCGGGAGGAUGCGGCUCUUCAGCUUCCCACGCCAGCCGUGCGAGGUGCACCCAUGUCCGUGCCCUUGGACCUUUGCUAGGAACACUCACUUGCACAACAUUCUGAAAUUUUUUGGUCAUUGCAACGAUCUUGAUCGGGAAAUGAGGAAGUGCUUGAAGAAUGAGUACAUGGAGAAGAGGAACAGGAGCAGGGAGCACGGCGCUGCGAUGCGAAGCAGGCUUUCUGAUCCUCCAGAGGAAACUGGAAGAUAGGCUCACUGGAUGCCUCGGCUGGGAGACCUGAAGGUGGCCGGUAGCUGAAAAAAAAUCCCUUCCUUUUGGCCUCUAGGACCCUUUGAAUGGAAAGCACUCUAUGAAGAACUGAGCCGUGGAGAAUCAGGAGAACAUGGGGUCCGGGACUUGCUGAACUUUAAUGCCAUGCACUGUGCCUCUGAAAGUUUCCUCCACUGCUGCCCUGAAUCUGUGUCUACCCAGGCCUGACUCGCCUCCUGCAAUAAAGGCUUAGCACAG